RNAcentral lists this ribosomal RNA (251 nucleotides) under uncultured bacterium. RNAcentral describes it as "partial 16S ribosomal RNA". It matches the Rfam family "Bacterial small subunit ribosomal RNA", at positions 81 to 334 of the family's 1533-position model. The record is from RNAcentral.
UACUCCGCCGGCGACCGGCGCACGGGUGCGUAACGCGUAUGCAACCUACCUUUAACAGGGGCAUAACACUGAGAAAUUGGUACUAAUUCCCCAUAACAUUCGAGAAGGCAUCUUCUUGGGUUAAAAACUCCGGUGGUUAAAGAUGGGCAUGCGUUGUAUUAGCUAGUUGGUGAGGUAACGGCUCACCAAGGCAACGAUACAUAGGGGGACUGAGAGGUUAACCCCCCACAUUGGUACUGAGACACGGCCAA